RNAcentral lists this ribosomal RNA (504 nucleotides) under uncultured bacterium. RNAcentral's name for it is "partial 16S ribosomal RNA". It matches the Rfam family "Bacterial small subunit ribosomal RNA", at positions 29 to 523 of the family's 1533-position model. The record is from RNAcentral.
AUUGAACGCUGGCGGCAGGCCUAACACAUGCAAGUCGGACGGUAGCACAGAGAGCUUGCUCUUGGGUGACGAGUGGCGGACGGGUGAGUAAUGUCUGGGGAUCUGCCCGAUAGAGGGGGAUAACCACUGGAAACGGUGGCUAAUACCGCAUAACGUCGCAAGACCAAAGAGGGGGACCUUCGGGCCUCUCACUGUCGGAUGAACCCAGAUGGGAUUAGCUAGUAGGCGGGGUAAUGGCCCACCUAGGCGACGAUCCCUAGCUGGUCUGAGAGGAUGACCAGCCACACUGGAACUGAGACACGGUCCAGACUCCUACGGGAGGCAGCAGUGGGGAAUAUUGCACAAUGGGCGCAAGCCUGAUGCAGCCAUGCCGCGUGUAUGAAGAAGGCCUUCGGGUUGUAAAGUACUUUCAGCGGGGAGGAAGGCGACGCGGUUAAUAACCGCGUCGAUUGACGUUACCCGCAGAAGAAGCACCGGCUAACUCCGUGCCAGCAGCCGCCGUAA